UACGUAGGGGGCAAGCGUUGUCCGGAUUUAUUGGGCGUAAAGAGCGUGUAGGCGGCUUUGCAAGUCCGUUGUGAAAACUCGAGGCUCAACCUCGAGACGCCGGUGGAAACUGCAAAGCUAGAGUCCGGAAGAGGAGAGUGGACUUCCUGGUGUAGCGGUGAAAUGCGCAGAUAUCAGGAGGAACACCCGUGGCGAAAGCGGCUCUCUGGGACGGUACUGACGCUGAGACGCGAAAGCGUGGGGAGCAAACAGG
Molecule: ribosomal RNA, 253 nt
Filed under: uncultured bacterium
Lineage: Bacteria
Description: partial 16S ribosomal RNA
Rfam family: Bacterial small subunit ribosomal RNA
Source: RNAcentral